UACAGAGGUCCCAAGCGUUGUUCGGAUUCACUGGGCGUAAAGGGUGCGUAGGCGGUGAGGUAAGUUUGUGGUGAAAGCUCCAGGCUCAACUUGGAAAUUGCCGCGAAGACUAUCUCGCUAGAGGAUCGGAGGGGAGACUGGAAUUCUCGGCGUAGCAGUGAAAUGCGUAGAUAUCGAGAGGAACACCAGUGGCGAAGGCGAGUCUCUGGACGGUUCCUGACGCUGAGGCACGAAAGCCAGGGGAGCAAACGGG
This 253-nucleotide ribosomal RNA is filed under the name uncultured bacterium. Its description in RNAcentral is "partial 16S ribosomal RNA". It matches the Rfam family "Bacterial small subunit ribosomal RNA", at positions 524 to 776 of the family's 1533-position model. The record is from RNAcentral.